RNAcentral lists this long non-coding RNA (3251 nucleotides) under Sus scrofa (pig). RNAcentral describes it as "lncRNA (ENSSSCG00040061172.1)". Lineage: Eukaryota; Metazoa; Chordata; Mammalia; Artiodactyla; Suidae. The record is from RNAcentral.
UUUUCAGGGAUUGCUAUUUCUCUCUUGGCGCACAUGAAACUAUGAAAUAUAACCUAUCUGACAUAAUUUUCUGGUACACAAUGCUCUUGUCCUUGCUACUCACCUCUGACUCAACUCUAAGCAAUGUCUCAUGUCAACUUAAUUUACAUUAAAGUACUCAAUACAGAACCAAAGAGAGGAUUUCUCAGCUCUGCUUACACCUGAAACACAGUGUAUGAUGAUCUACGCCACAUGUUUAGAAGCAGGGAUAUUUGAUGGGAAAGGGUUGAGGCAAGGGAUUGGCAGAAUUCCCUCCAAAAAGAGUCUCAUGUUAUUAGAAGACAGAUUGGUUAAAUGAAUUAUUAGUAAUGUUCCACCUGGAGAAGAGAAGACUCUGGAAAUAUGACUGUUGUUUUCAAUGAUUUAAAGGGCUAUCACGUGGAAGAAAGAACAGGCCUAUUUAACGAGGUUCUGGGGGGAAUGACGAGGCUGAGGGUAGAAGCUCUGGACACAAUAACCUGAACAACUCAAUUCAGAAAUCUAGGUUGUCCUAGUCAAUGGUGAAUUUCCAGCACUGGAAAAGAUAAUUUUCCAGGAUUAAAUUAAAUUGAUAAAUCAUAUGCCUUGCUCAAAACAGGGUACACAGAAGUUAUUCAACAAAUGUUCAUUAUCACAUAAUUAAUAAUUAUAAUUGCUUUUAGGCAUGGGAUUUUAUAAAAGACUAAUAUGUUCCUUUAGAUCUUUGAGAUUCUAAUGAUUUGCUGGAUAGUUUGAAGACUUAUCAUCACUGACUUACCCUUAGGUUCACAUAUUAUCUACUGUGAAUUCUAGAAAUCUUCUAGGAUGUUUUUAUUUUGAUAUUUAUAUUAGUAUCAAGAUUUGUUCUAUAUUAACACAUCAAUUAUUUGACUAUUUAUGAAGUCUUUAUCCCCAUCCCAGAGUGAUGUAAAUUGAUGGUAUCUAAUAAAGUUACAAAUUCCUUCCUAAACAAACAAAAACAAACCAAAAACCCCCAAACACAAAAAACCCCAAGAAAACCAAAUCAGCCAUUAGAUGUCUACGAAACUCCUCCCCCCAAAACAACAACUUUUUGUUUUAAGAAUAAACUUUGAAAUUUUAAUAUAAAAAGAGAGUAGCCAGUUUUCGGGUAGGUUAGGUGAAGGCUGGAAGGAAUCUAAACUCUGGCUUGACUAAUAGAGAUGAAGCAAUCAGGCUGAGCUGAGGAACAAAUAUUGGGAGACGUUUCCAGCAUGUGGGCAAAGCACGGUGCUCAGGAAAUCUGGAAAUAAGCAAGAGGUCUAGAAAUAUUGUUAGCAGUAUCAGAGGUACGUACUUUGUUUAGCAUGCAGCCAGGAUUAUAAGAGCAUUUGAUAAAUGUUGAUAGGUUGAAUAAAUGAAUGAAUGAAAGAACCUCUGCAAAUUGGCAGUAGGAGGUCCUUGCUAUGGGCAUCAGGUCUUCUUGGUGAGGCUGUAGUCCCAUAAGAACAGAACUAUAGGCUGGGAAGGAUGGCAGGGAGCAACUACUGGGCUGGAACAGCAACAGAGAGUAAAAUCAGGACAACUGUCUCUGUACCAAGGAGAAAGUAUUUCAAAUCCAUAGAUGCUUGUGCUUCUGCCUAAGAGUGAGGAAAAAAGGGAGGCAGAACUAAGCUGAGGGACACAUGGGCAGGAGCUGUCCCUGUUGCGAGAGGUAAUGAAAUGGUAGGCCACAUACAAAUAGAAGGGAGAUGCUAACAAAAUGGUGUUGAUACCAUGAAAAUAUUAAAAGGAUUAUUAUCCAUGAUUAUCCCCUAACUGCAGUUAAGAGCAAUUUUCGACAGAGUUUGAAACUUAGACCAGCAGAUAUUUGCAUCAAAGUUUUUCACUGGAACUUUUAUACCUCAUCCUCAUUUAUACCUUAAAAGAUAGUUUAUUUUCAAGUAUUCACUGGGCUGUGCAGAAAACAGCCUCUGAACUAAUCCUAAUCCUAUCUCAGGAAAUCUUGGAGAAAUGUGUCAAAAUAAAAGCAAAGCAGAAGUUGAACAUAUUCCAUAUCUGUAGUUGUUUGGCCCCCAAAGAACUCACACAGUUUAUAAAGUGGGGGAAAAUGGAGCUCGGGCUGUCACAGAUCUGCCAGCCUCUCAGCAGACCCUGUGGUCCCCUCUGUCUCCAAGCAGAGAGAAGUGCUGAGGCAAUGUGGGUGCAGAAUGAGAAUAAACAGAUCUCACACACCUUCACCCCUUCUGACUUCAAUUUAAUUUGUAUUUCUUUCCUUCUGAGAGCAGGAGUAGGUCAAGGAGAGCCAGAUUUAAAGCUAGAGUAGAUUUAUUUCGACCCAAGUUGGCCCCAAAUGGUCUUUGCUAGUAUGAAGUUUUGCCUUACUCUGCCAUUUAUCAACCAGAAAGAGUAUUGUUUUAGCUGUGUUUUGGGAGUGUGAGAAAGCUUGGAGGUGGGGGUCCCUAAUUAUCUUAUUUAACUAGGCUUCCUUUCCAUCAUGCUCUAUCACUUUACUUUGAUAUUACCUGAAAUUGAAUUAUUUAUCUCUUUUUCUCCUUUUUUAGCCCAAUAGUAUGUAAGCUCCAUGAAAGGAGGGAUGAGGCCAGGAUGCUGCUAAACAUUGUAUUAUUUGCCCAAAAUGUCAAUGUGCCUAGGCUGAGAAUCCCUGGUCCAGGCUCUAUCUCCAGUUCUUAGAACAAUGCCUGGAAACUGGUAGGUGAUCAAUUAAGUACUUCUAAAAAUAUGAAUAAACAUCAAGGAAAACUGUUCAAGCCAAGUUUUCCACAUAAAGGAAUAAACUUUUUGUUUUCACCACGGGCAUGAGUACCAUAUUUUUGUAUACUUACCAACUGUCAACGUAAUACUUAUGAAUUAAGGUGAUGGUGGAGUGUUCCCAUCAAGAACAUAGAAGUGUAGGAACUAAGAUGUUUUUUUGAGACUCACAGACAUAGAGAAUGGACUUGUGGUUGACAAGGGGCAGGGGUGCCGGGAGGGUUGGAUUGGCAGGUACAGACCACUAUAGAUAGAAUGGAUAAACAACAACGUCCUAUCGUAUAGCAUGGGGAUCUAUAUUCAAUAUCCUGUAAUAUACCAUAAUGGCAAAGAAGAGAAAAGAUGUCCUCUGAGAAUUAAAAUAUAAAUCAAUGCAAUGGAGCCAAAGCAUGUGAGGUGUCCUUGAAGAUAAGCAAUGGUGCCCAGGCAAUUUUCAUUUAAGUGGCAGUGUAGAGUACCGUGUAAACAUAUGAUUUCUGGAGUUACAAUGACUAAAUUCCAAUCUCAGCUUCACCACUUUCCAG